GACGAACGCUGGCGGCGUGCUUAACACAUGCAAGUCGAACGGAAAGGCCCUGCUUUUGUGGGGUGCUCGAUUGGCGAACGGGUGAGUAACACGUGAGUAACCUGCCCUUGACUUUGGGAUAACUUCAGGAAACUGGGGCUAAUACCGGAUAGGAGCUCCUGCUGCAUGGUGGUGGUUGGAAAGUUUCGGCGGUUGGGGAUGGACUCGCGGCUUAUCAGCUUGUUGGUGAGGUAGUGGCUUACCAAGGUUUUGACGGGUAGCCGGCCUGAGAGGGUUACCGGCCACAUUGGGACUGAGAGACGGCCCAGACUCCUACGGGAGGCAGCAGUGGGGAAUAUUGCACAAUGGGCGGAAGCCUGAUGCAGCAACGCCGCGUGCGGGAUGACGGCCUUCGGGUUGUAAACCGCUUUCGCAUGUGACGAAGCGUGAGUGACGGUAAUGGGUAAAGAAGCACCGGCUAACUACGUG
Molecule: ribosomal RNA, 468 nt
Filed under: uncultured bacterium
Lineage: Bacteria
Description: partial 16S ribosomal RNA
Rfam family: Bacterial small subunit ribosomal RNA
Source: RNAcentral